UACGUAGGGUGCAAGCGUUAAUCGGAAUUACUGGGCGUAAAGCGUGCGCAGGCGGUUGUGCAAGACAGAUGUGAAAUCCCCGGGCUCAACCUGGGAAUUGCAUUUGUGACUGCACGGCUAGAGUGUGUCAGAGGGGGGUAGAAUUCCACGUGUAGCAGUGAAAUGCGUAGAGAUGUGGAGGAAUACCGAUGGCGAAGGCAGCCCCCUGGGCUGACACUGACGCUCAGGCACGAAAGCGUGGGGAGCAAACAGG
This 253-nucleotide ribosomal RNA is filed under the name uncultured bacterium. RNAcentral describes it as "partial 16S ribosomal RNA". It matches the Rfam family "Bacterial small subunit ribosomal RNA", at positions 524 to 776 of the family's 1533-position model. The record is from RNAcentral.